Molecule: ribosomal RNA, 264 nt
Filed under: uncultured bacterium
Lineage: Bacteria
Description: partial 16S ribosomal RNA
Rfam family: Bacterial small subunit ribosomal RNA
Source: RNAcentral
GUCCACGCCGUAAACGAUGGGUACUAGGCGUCGGGGGAGGCGACCCUCUCGGUGCCGUCGCUAACGCAGUAAGUACCCGCCUGGGGAGUACGGUCGCAAGACUGAAACUCAAAGGAAUUGACGGGGGCCCGCACAAGCGGUGGAGCAUGUGGUUUAAUUCGAAGCAACGCGAAGAACCUUACCUGGGCUUGACAUGCACGGGAAAGCCGGUGGAAACAUCGGCCCCUCUUCGGAGUCCGUGCACAGGUGCUGCAUGGCUGUCGU